UACGGGGGGUGCAAGCGUUGUUCGGAAUUAUUGGGCGUAAAGAGCGUGUAGGCGGUUUGUUAAGUCUGUCGUGAAAGCCCUGGGCUCAACCCAGGAAGUGCACUGGAUACUGGCAGACUUGAAUACGGGAGAGGGUAGUGGAAUUCCUAGUGUAGGAGUGAAAUCCGUAGAUAUUAGGAGGAACACCGGUGGCGAAGGCGGCUACCUGGACCGAUAUUGACGCUGAGACGCGAAAGCGUGGGUAG
Molecule: ribosomal RNA, 245 nt
Filed under: uncultured bacterium
Lineage: Bacteria
Description: partial 16S ribosomal RNA
Rfam family: Bacterial small subunit ribosomal RNA
Source: RNAcentral